This 408-nucleotide ribosomal RNA is filed under the name uncultured beta proteobacterium. RNAcentral describes it as "bacterial SSU rRNA". It matches the Rfam family "Bacterial small subunit ribosomal RNA", at positions 9 to 418 of the family's 1533-position model. The record is from RNAcentral. Lineage: Bacteria; Pseudomonadati; Pseudomonadota; Betaproteobacteria.
GAGUUUGAUCGUGGCUCAGAUUGAACGCUGGCGGCAUGCUUUACACAUGCAAGUCGAACGGCAGCACGGGGGCAACCCUGGUGGCGAGUGGCGAACGGGUGAGUAAUGCAUCGGAACGUGCCCAGUAGUGGGGGAUAACACAUCGAAAGAUGUGCUAAUACCGCAUACGCACUACGGUGGAAAGCGGGGGAGUCGUAAGACCUCGCGCUAUUGGAGCGGCCGAUGUCCGAUUAGCUAGUUGGUGGGGUAAUGGCCUACCAAGGCAACGAUCGGUAGCUGGUCUGAGAGGAUGAUCAGCCACACUGGGACUGAGACACGGCCCAGACUCCUACGGGAGGCAGCAGUGGGGAAUUUUGGACAAUGGGCGCAAGCCUGAUCCAGCCAUGCCGCGUGAGUGAAGAAGGCCUU